RNAcentral lists this ribosomal RNA (301 nucleotides) under uncultured Bacillus sp. RNAcentral describes it as "bacterial SSU rRNA". It matches the Rfam family "Bacterial small subunit ribosomal RNA", at positions 493 to 795 of the family's 1533-position model. Lineage: Bacteria; Bacillati; Bacillota; Bacilli; Caryophanales; Bacillaceae. The record is from RNAcentral.
CCGUUGAACUCCGUUGGAGGUGCUGUGUUAAUACGUUGUGGUCUAUCUUUAGCCGGUAUGAUUGUGCUUAACGGGUGCGUUGGUUGUUUCUUAAGUCAGAGGUGAAAGACUACUGCUCAACCGUAGUAAGCCUUUGAAACUUGGAAACUUGAGUGCAGGAGAUGUGAGUGUAAUUCCUAGUGUAGCGGUGAAAUGCGUAGAUAUUAGGAGUAACACCAGUUGCGAAGGCGGCUCUCUGGACUGUAACUGACACUGAGGCACGAAAGCGUGGGGAGCAAACAGGAUUAGAUACCGUGUAGUC